Molecule: long non-coding RNA, 1969 nt
Organism: Astatotilapia calliptera (eastern happy)
Lineage: Eukaryota; Metazoa; Chordata; Actinopteri; Cichliformes; Cichlidae
Source: Ensembl
UAAGAGGCUUCACUAAAAGCCAAGAUAAAUAAGGAUUAACUAGGACUGUUAAUCAGGCAAAGUUAGAAGACGCGCACACACACAGACGCACACACACACACACACACACACACACACACACACACACACACACACACACACACACACACACACACACACACAAAUAUAAUCCACAUCUCUUGUUUUACAUCAAAAGUUCAAGCAACAAGGGUGGGGUUGCUUUCAAAGCCAAGGAUCCGGUAUAGCUUCGGUAUAACAGGAUCUGAGACGCGAAUCUGAAUCUGCCAUUCUACUGCUUUAUUUUUUUUAUUCAGUUAUAUUUUAUUAGAUAUGCUUUCAGAUCUAAUGCAAUAAUAACACUGCUACAUAAUUGAAUAGCAUUACCACAUUUAUUCUCUAUUACAUAAGUAAUGGACACAAGCUAAUAUAAUGGAACGACUAUACAAAGGAGAUGAAAGAAGGUUAACAGCGUUAAAAGCAUUAACACAAGAUUUUAAUGGUUAGAUGUUCCACACUGUACAUGUGAGUGGUUGUGUAUUAAUAUGUCUCUGUGCUGCAACAUUAUGCGGUUUUACUGCUACCGAUUGGAAUACUUUAGUGAUGAACUGUAAACCACUAAACCUAUUGUGCUGCGCAGUAUUACUUACUGUUGUGUAUUACAUUGUAAAGAAUUCCUUUCCUACUCCUGUGACUCCAAAAAGACAUUUAACCUACCAAUACUGAAGAACUACCUGCACACUGUAUUAAUCUUUGCAUGUAUGUAACAGUAUAUGAAAAACAGCGAAUUGUAUGCCUCGUACUCAAACUCCGCUUUUAGUGGCAGCUUCUGUGUAUGUAUUGUGAAACAUUUAUACAGUGAACUUGCGAUAUAUCACCUUGCUAGAUCAGUGUAAAUACAAAAACUCAAUAAUCCUCAUUUACUGGCAUCUUCUGUAGUCCGCUGUGGUAAAUAAAUGUCUACACACCAGGGAACUUUAAGUUCUAAAUCAAAAAUAAUGUUUUAAAUUAAACGCACAUCCCCUUUUAAGUUACACUAUGUGAGUUAUUAGAUAUUUUAUACUUUGGAUUAGUUGGUGAUUUCAGCUUGGCAGUUGUGGGGAAUGUGGGUCUUAAUGUAAAUCUGUGUUGGCUCAGUCCAGUGUGGAUUCCCCGUAUGACAGCUGGGAUAGACUCCAGUCCUCAUAUGUCCCAGAACUAGAUGAAUGGUUAAAAGAAUAGAUGGAUGGCUAUGGUUCUCAGCACCUCUGAUAAGCCUUUAUUUGGUAAGCUGUGAUUGAUUAAACUACAAAGGAUUAACAAACUCCAGGCGUACCUGUCCACUCAGUGGCAGGCUUUGAACUGUCAACAGGCAGCUGUUACAAUGUAAACAGCAGGCAUAUCUCUGUCAGUAUCGGAUUUAUCUCAUGGACAUAUUGGCACAUCCCAGUAAACUUAACAGAAUACACUGAACCACACGGGGACUAUUGAAAUAACAUGAUAUAAAUAUAAAUUUUCUUAAAAGUCCUGUCCAUGUAAAUGUUACUUUUUUGGGGAUUAAACAUGAACAUAAAAUAAUGGUUUCAUUUGAGAGAAAAUUGCAUGUGUCAAAGUGGAGUAUUUUCUGUUUGUUUAGUGUAAAUGUCUUCAUAUCGCUAUGAUACAGAAUAAAGGAAGUGAUUUCGGGUUGAGCUCUAGUACUCUAUUAAUCUAUUAAUCUCUAUUAAUCUAAUACUAUUUUCCUUCUGUCACUGGAGUCUCCCUUUCCAGCCAGCUUCCCCUGCUGCAACUGUGUCCUACAAAAACCCAUUCAUUCCCGUUUUCUCUCCCCCUUUAUAUAGAUGGGCUCAAAUCAUCACCAAUCAACCACUCCGUGCAGUAAUCUCCAAAUGGCUGACUGCUUGACUAGAGGGGAAUCUCCACUCCCACAUAGAUGUUAUGUUCACAGAAGGCCCGAGUCUAUAAAGGUCCAUAAAACAAUACCUGAACCAAC